This 74-nucleotide transfer RNA is filed under the name Ostreobium sp. TRHA14-720. RNAcentral describes it as "tRNA-Gly". It matches the Rfam family "tRNA". From Rfam's summary of the family: Transfer RNA (tRNA) molecules are approximately 80 nucleotides in length. Lineage: Eukaryota; Viridiplantae; Chlorophyta; Ulvophyceae; Bryopsidales; Ostreobiaceae. The record is from RNAcentral.
GCAGCACUGGUGUAAUGGUAGCGCUUUAGCUUGCCAAGCUAAGGGCAGGGGUUCGAUUCCCCUGUGCUGCUCCA